Molecule: ribosomal RNA, 111 nt
Filed under: uncultured eukaryote
Lineage: Eukaryota
Description: partial small subunit ribosomal RNA
Source: RNAcentral
UCGCUGCCCGGAACUGAGCCGUUUCGAGAAGAACAGGGAGGUUGAUUGGUUGGGCCUUGCUUAGCCAUUUUUGACUGAACUAUUUUUAUCGGUACAGCUUGAACCGGGCAA